RNAcentral lists this ribosomal RNA (423 nucleotides) under uncultured bacterium. RNAcentral's name for it is "bacterial SSU rRNA". It matches the Rfam family "Bacterial small subunit ribosomal RNA", at positions 355 to 775 of the family's 1533-position model. The record is from RNAcentral.
UAAGGAAUAUUGGUCAAUGGGCGCAAGCCUGAACCAGCCAUGCCGCGUGCAGGAAGACGGCCCUAUGGGUUGUAAACUGCUUUUGUCAGGGAAUAAACCCCCGCUCGUGAGCGGGGCUGAAGGUACCUGAAGACUAAGCAUCGGCUAACUCCGUGCCAGCAGCCGCGGUAAUACGGAGGAUGCAAGCGUUAUCCGUAUUCAUUGGUUUUAAAGGGUGCGCAGGCGGAUUGGUAAGUCAGGGGUGAAAUCCCACAGCUCAACUGUGGAACUGCCUUUGAUACUGUCAGUCUAGAGUGUAGUUGAAGUGGGCGGAAUGUGUCAUGUAGCGGUGAAAUGCUUAGAUAUGACACAGAACACCGAUCGCGAAGGCAGCUCGCUAAGCUAUAACUGACGCGCAUGCACGAAAGCGUGGGGAUCAAACAG